AGCCUUCAUUUGUGUAAAAUACCGAAAGCCCACUCCUUGAACUUUUCCCGAAACAAUUAUCCGUAAUUGUUGCACCAUAACAUUUCCCUCCGAAUUUAAAAAUACGGAUAUA
Molecule: non-coding RNA, 112 nt
Filed under: Bacillus methanolicus MGA3
Lineage: Bacteria; Bacillati; Bacillota; Bacilli; Caryophanales; Bacillaceae
Source: RNAcentral